UACGUAGGUCCCGAGCGUUGUCCGGAUUUAUUGGGCGUAAAGCGAGCGCAGGUGGUUUAUUAAGUCUGGUGUAAAAGGCAGUGGCUCAACCAUUGUAUGCAUUGGAAACUGGUAGACUUGAGUGCAGGAGAGGAGAGUGGAAUUCCAUGUGUAGCGGUGGAAUGCGUAGAUAUAUGGAGGAACACCGGUGGCGAAAGCGGCUCUCUGGUCUGUAACUGACGCUGAGGCUCGAAAGCGUGGGUAGCGAACAGG
Molecule: ribosomal RNA, 252 nt
Filed under: uncultured bacterium
Lineage: Bacteria
Description: partial 16S ribosomal RNA
Rfam family: Bacterial small subunit ribosomal RNA
Source: RNAcentral